Molecule: long non-coding RNA, 747 nt
Organism: Zalophus californianus (California sea lion)
Lineage: Eukaryota; Metazoa; Chordata; Mammalia; Carnivora; Otariidae
Exons: 4
Source: RefSeq, a predicted model, not a curated record
AAGUGGCCCAGCAAGGCGUGGCCUUGGCCAAGGCUGGGCUCAGAGUGCAGGAGGAAUUAGCUUAAGACUUGCAAAAACAAGAGGGGGCCUGCACCUAAGCACAGCCCCAAGGCAACUGGGAGAUGGUGCCCGGGAGUAUCUUCCCACACAGACACCCAGCAUAUCCCCGCCCUGUGCUCUGCGCCAACGAAGACCCCUGUCUCCACCAGUGACCUGGUGGAGGGGCCACAGAUCCUGAGACACUGUCCUCAGAUGAUGGAUACUUGGCAAAGAAAUAAGGGCUUCCCAUAUCAAAGCCACUGGAUAGCCGCCUCCACCGAUCUGAGGAGCAAGAAGAUGAGAAGCCGAGACUCAGAGCACGGUGAAGCUCUGCCAUCUCUGUAACUCUUCGUACUACCCUAACAACUGCAACUGAGAAGCGACCUCUCAGUCUGCCCAGAGUGAAGAGGCUGGACACAUGGGCCUGGGAGCCUGACAACUCUGACUUUCCCCCUGCCUCGCCACUUAGGACCUGUGUUCCAGCUCAGUUACUUUCAUUCCCAAACUGUUUUGUCACCCGAAAAAAGGGAAAAUAAAAUACUCCCUACGGGGCCGUUGCGGACAACGUGAUGACAUUUUAAAUGGCCGGCGGUGCCUGGUUUGUGGGUGUUCGCAAACGCCUGCCAUCCGUCCUGGUUGCUACUACUGGUGGCAGGCUGGUCCUGACCACGUCCUUCCCCACCCACCACGCCCAGUGCUGCUUUUUCC